GACGAACGCUGGCGGCGUGCUUAACACAUGCAAGUCGAGCGGUAAGGCCCUUUCGGGGGUACACGAGCGGCGAACGGGUGAGUAACACGUGGGUGACCUGCCCUUAGCUCUGGGAUAAGCCUGGGAAACUGGGUCUAAUACCGGAUAUGACUCCAUGACGCAUGUUGUGGGGUGGAAAGCCUUGUGCGGCUAGGGAUGGGCCCGCGGCCUAUCAGCUUGUUGGUGGGGUGANGGCCUACCAAGGCGACGACGGGUAGCCGGCCUGAGAGGGCGACCGGCCACACUGGGACUGAGACACGGCCCAGACUCCUACGGGAGGCAGCAGUGGGGAAUCUUGCGCAA
Molecule: ribosomal RNA, 342 nt
Filed under: uncultured bacterium
Lineage: Bacteria
Description: bacterial SSU rRNA
Rfam family: Bacterial small subunit ribosomal RNA
Source: RNAcentral